RNAcentral lists this ribosomal RNA (371 nucleotides) under uncultured bacterium. RNAcentral describes it as "bacterial SSU rRNA". It matches the Rfam family "Bacterial small subunit ribosomal RNA", at positions 525 to 896 of the family's 1533-position model. The record is from RNAcentral.
ACGUAGGGUGCAAGCGUUAAUCGGAAUUACUGGGCGUAAAGCGUGCGCAGGCGGUCUUGCAAGACAGAUGUGAAAUCCCCGGGCUCAACCUGGGAACUGCAUUUGUGACUGCAAGGCUAGAGUGCGGCAGAGGGGGAUGGAAUUCCGCGUGUAGCAGUGAAAUGCGUAGAUAUGCGGAGGAACACCGAUGGCGAAGGCAAUCCCCUGGGCCUGCACUGACGCUCAUGCACGAAAGCGUGGGGAGCAAACAGGAUUAGAUACCCUGGUAGUCCACGCCCUAAACGAUGUCAACUGGUUGUUGGGAAGGUUCCUUCUCAGUAACGUAGCUAACGCGUGAAGUUGACCGCCUGGGGAGUACGGCCGCAAGGUUG